UAAAGAAACAAAACAAAUAAGGAAAGAAAUGUAAAUUACUCCCAUCAGAACUCUUUCUCUCUAUAUCACAAAUCACAAUUAAAAUCCUAAAACAGAAGGUCCAAUCUUCUUCUUCCCUCUCUCACGCACCGGCGUCUCUCCAUCGUCACUGCCCUCCAGCCGCCUCGACCUGCUGUCGUCGUUGCCGUGGAAGCUCCAGGUGUCGCCGCCGUCUCGCUGCGGCGAGUUAUGUUCCAGCCGCCUCGACCUGCUGUCCCUCUUCCGUCUCUACCCUUCUCUCUUUUUCUCCGAUAGGUAAGUCUCCUCCCCUAAAAUCAUUCUAAUUCUUAUCCAAAUUCUAAUUCUUAUUAAUCGAUUUCAAUUUGUUUUCUCGGAGGAUUGAAUUUUCAAAAGUGACAAAGGGCUAAACUUAAAGAGUGAAACUUUGGCCAUUGCUAUGUUAACCUAAGCAACGAAGGUGGAAGCUAUACCUGCAAAGCAGCGAAAAAUCUUGGUCUCUGCCCACAGCUUUCUCCCUGCUCUUCUGUUUUCUCUCUCUCAGAUUUAAAUGUGAAUGAAAAGUGAAAUCGUGGGGAUGCAUCUAUAUAUACAUGGUUAAAUCCUCCUAAUUCUCAGGGAAGAGAUUUGGACAAAAGAUUUGAGUAUAAUUGAGUUAAACCAUAUCGGAUAUUGGGCUAGAAGAUUAUUAAAUUAUAGGCUCUAAAAUUAUAUUCUUUGGCUAUUUAUUUGUACUCCAGAAAUACAUUCUAUUUUCUCCUCAAGGGUCGAUUACUUAUGCCUCA
Salvia hispanica is the source of this 782-nucleotide long non-coding RNA. RefSeq lists it as uncharacterized. The record is from RefSeq and is a predicted model, not a curated record. NCBI's taxonomy places the organism in Eukaryota, Viridiplantae, Streptophyta, Magnoliopsida, Lamiales, Lamiaceae.